RNAcentral lists this ribosomal RNA (537 nucleotides) under Aphytis nr. anneckei FAFU Yu Si 161. RNAcentral's name for it is "partial large subunit ribosomal RNA". Lineage: Eukaryota; Metazoa; Arthropoda; Insecta; Hymenoptera; Aphelinidae. The record is from RNAcentral.
UAUAACCGUGGAGGGAAAGUUGAAAAGAACUGUUGCAUUGAGAGAGAGUUCAAGAGUACGUGAAACCGUUCAGGGGUAAACCUGAGAAACCCAAAAGAUCGAAUAGGGGAGAUUCAACGUAAACUCGGUCGAUUGCCGUGUGGUGCGCGAUAAUCGUAGCCUCGGUUGCGAAUACGCCAUCGCUGCGGUUCAUCAUUGAUCGAGCGGGCGUGCACUUCUCCCCUAGUAGGACGUCGCGACCCGUUGGGUGUCGGCCUACGGCUUGCAAUGUCGCCUGUCGCCCGUGGACGUUUACGCGUCUCUCGCGGCAGACCUGCUUUUGCCCGGCCGACUGCCCGGCGGUAUUGAUAUCAUGACAGGUAUUUGGCCGCAUUUUUGUGCGUCCUGGCCCGUCGGCAGGCUCGCCUCGCCCGGUUUCACGGACCUAGCGCCGUUGCCGGGUGCUUGGUGUGGCUGUUAGUCGACGGUGUCCUCGGACUGGCUUUUACCGGGUGGCGACGCUAGUGCUUUGGGUACUUUCGAUGACCCGUCUUGAAA